Molecule: ribosomal RNA, 254 nt
Filed under: uncultured bacterium
Lineage: Bacteria
Description: partial 16S ribosomal RNA
Rfam family: Bacterial small subunit ribosomal RNA
Source: RNAcentral
CACGUAGGGGGCAAGCGUUGUCCGGAUUUAUUGGGCGUAAAGAGCUCGUAGGCGGCUCACUAAGUCGGGUGUGAAAUUUCGAGGCUCAACCUCGAAACGCCACCCGAUACUGGUGUGGCUAGAGUCCGGUAGGGGAGCGUGGAAUUCCUGGUGUAGCGGUGAAAUGCGCAGAUAUCAGGAGGAACACCAGCGGCGAAGGCGGCGCUCUUGGCCGGUACUGACGCUGAGGAGCGAAAGCGUGGGGAUCAAACAGG